RNAcentral lists this unclassified non-coding RNA (222 nucleotides) under uncultured fungus. RNAcentral's name for it is "sequence contains ITS1, 5.8S rRNA gene". The record is from RNAcentral. Lineage: Eukaryota; Fungi.
CCAAAAACAACGGGGGCCUCGCGCCCCCGCACCUGCCGCGCGGCCUCGCGCCCGCGGUCAGCGUGAAACCCCUUGUGAAACGCCCCGGUUGCUUCGGCAGCUCCUCCUCCCCCUCCCUCGCGGGUCGGUGGGGGACGGGUCAGUCUGCCGGCAGCUCCAGCGAAACUACUCUGCGGAAAGAAGCUUGAUUGCAGUCUGAACUAAAAGUCGAAUGACAACUUA